GUCUUUAAAUGUUAAAUGAAUUAUGUCUGAAUAUUCUAAGUUCCACAAAUGUCAAUGAAUGACUUAUGAUGGACCUAUACUUAUUCCUUAAGCCAAGUCAUAUUUUAGGGCUUUAACGUCAUGAUUUAAAAUCACUUGGAAUGAGAUUAGAUGAAAAAAUCAUCCUCAUUAAUCAUGUCAUGAUUUCUCUUGAAUUUCGGUUAUAAUGGAUGAAACUUAUAAGUCUCGUUUUCCUUUUGUCAAAUUCUCAUUUGCAUGAUGACAAAGGUUGUGAAAGUAUAUUUAGAACAAAUAAGAUGAGAGUUUAAGGUAAGUGUGACUUUAUGUUGACUAUACAAACCUCACAACCUUCAUAACAUAGCUUAAUUAUGAUACUAUAUUCUGAUUAAUCCUUAGAAUAUAUAAGGUAUCGAAAAACUUUGUUGGAAGACUGCUUAUUACGGUUUUUAUAGCCUUAACAUUUAAUUUUGUCACUAACUCUCAUGUUAAUUGUUUGUUGAGUUCUGGUAAGGAAACGCUUAGAACUAGAGUCAACAAAUCAUGUGUUAAUUGGAAUAUUAAAAGUAUCAGACUUAAAUAUCAUUAGUAAGUGACUACCUAAUUAACUUAUCCAACUGUUCUUUUGAAUAAUGGAUAGUCUCGUUGCUUAUGCCUAGUCUAAUGGCAUAAUUAUGCAGUGAGAUUUUCCCUUGAAGAAUCUUAGAGUUGGAAUUCUGUAUUUGUAUUUUGACUAUGGACCUUAGGACAAUCCUCUAUUAAUGUUUCCGUGGUUUUAAGGUGAAUAACAUCGUAUUUUCCAGUUUCAAACAUUUAUUUCUUUGUACAUAUGUUGCUUACCAACACACUCAUUUUCUUUGGUACUUUUGAGUGUUAUUGUUGAUUUAUAAGGCAUCAAAUUGUACAAGUGAAAAUUUUAGUACGUAAUGCACCAGAAAAUGUACUUCCAUGCGUAAGCCCUUAAUUUUAUGGGUUAUGGUACUGUACAUUAUGAUGUAUUCAUGAUACAUCAGAAGCUCAUUCAAGUUAAGCUAUUUUGAUUUUGUGAAAAAUAAUCUAAUUCUGAUUAAGUAAUUAAGUAUUUACAAAACCAAGUAUUUAAUAGAAAACCACCUGUUAGUGCGGAUCGAGAUCUCGACUCAACUUUUAGUUCACAUUAACAGCUUAAUAAAGUAAUGAAGUUUCAAAUGAGAUCUCGACUUAGUUAUGAGAUCUCGACUCAACUUAUGAGAUCUCGACUCAACUUAUGAGAUCUCGACUCAACUUAUGAGUUCGCGAGUGAGAUCUCGAGUAAGGUUUCAGCUCAUUAUGAAUCAUUAUGAGGUUUCGAGUCAUUAAGGUUUCGAGUUGCAACCACUUGGUAGCGAGUCACUAAUGUCAGUCGAAACCUCGAGGUUUCGAGUAAUGAAUAUUUAUGAGAUUUCGACUUCAUAAUGAGAUUUCGAGUCACAACCUCCUGUUGCGAGUCGGAAGCUUGGUCUCGAGUCAUGAAGACUGAAACCUUUAUGAUUUCGAGUCGGAAUCUUGGUCUCUAGUCAUGAAGACUGAAACCUUUAUGAUUUCGAGUCACAAUCUUAUGGUUUCGAGUCGGAAUCUAAUGGUUUCGAGUCGUUAAGGUUAGUCUCGAAACCUACUGUUAACAGCUGUUAGUGUUAUAAGUUUGAAAUUCGAAUUUUAAGGGAAUUGGUAUAGCUUGUUUCCUGUUUUAAAAGAUAUUUUAUAUUUAUCCAUUGAUUUCGAAAAUUAUAUCUAAUAACAUUAACAGAUUUUCAAAAUCUUAAUGGAUAAAAAUUAAUCAAAUACAGGAAAAACACCUUCUAAUCCUUAAUUCAUUCCAAAAUAAGGGAGUUUAUUCGAAUUUCACUAAGAACAUGAAGAACCCUAAUAUUAAUAAAAUCAAAUUCUGGAACCCGAAACCUGAAUAUUAAGGUUUUAAAACAGAUUUCGGAACAUUAAGGUUAUUAUUUGAUUUCGAGACAAUUAUAAAACAUUCUUUUUCCUUAAACAGCGAUUUCUCGAAACAGGCUUUUAAAUUUUAUUAAGUUUUCAAAACUCUAUUUUCCAGAUUUCAAUCCCAGAAUAGUGGAUACGAAAACAGAACUGAUUUAUCAACAUAUGCUCUAAUACCAAAUGUUGAUCAGUUCUGUUUUAGGCAUAAUGGUAAACAUAAAAACAUACCUUUGAUUGUAGGGGAUAGGCCAGCGGAGAAUCCAGAUGGAGACGCAGCAAUAAGGUUUGACAUGAUUUUCAGCUUGAUCUAGUUCCUCCUUAGGGUGCAAUCUAAUGAUAGUGAUGAGAGAACCGAAAAGGGUAAUCGGUUAUGGAGGGAAGGGGGCGAUUUCAUGUGUGAUGUUAUUGUGAUUAGUGUCUAACCCUUUAACCCUCUAAUUAUCUCCUUAUAUAUGCACCCAAGAGGAAACCCUAAUUAGUUAAUAAGGGUAAUAUGGCCCGUCAACAAUUACUAACUAAUUAUUUAAUAGGUUGUUACAUAUUUUGAUCUAUAUAAUGUAAAUGAUUAUAAUGGCUACUAGAUUAAAUACAAUAUAAUAUAUAUUUAAUCUUACAAUAUGUUGAUUGAUAUGCUUGAGUGUGACUUAAUUUGUGAGGAAAGCCUUUUUAAUGGCUUUGUGAAAUCAAUGCCGGCAUCUAUAAAAAGUGAUUGCAAUUUGGAUGAUUUAUUUUGCAAAAUAAUAUAAAAAAUAAUUAACCAAUAGUUUGUUUCUUCUCUUAAUACGGAGGAGGAACAUAAUAAAUUAUAGAUAAGUAACUAGAGAUAGAAAAUGGGUGGGUUAGCGUGUUGGGUAAUGGGUUCGAGUCAAAAUGGAUAAUUUAUAGAGUUCUGGGAAGUCUUUGGUACUAGAGAGCAUUGUUGGGGGAGAUUUUCUUUCUUGGGGAUCUGGUUAGGUGCUUGUUUGAUUUUCCUUGCAACUGUUUUUCCUCUUCUUUUACAUUUUUUACAAUGCUGAAUGCAUGGAUUUUUUAGGGAUUGUUACGAGGAGACUUGUGGUGUUGCAGUUGCACAAGACAGGGCAGGCGACAAUUAUGCAGAAUUUGGAUACAUGUAAACGCAUCUAUUAAGUUGUUAUAAUAUACUAAAUAAUAAUACAUAAUAUAUUUUCACGGGUAACUU
RNAcentral lists this long non-coding RNA (3127 nucleotides) under Helianthus annuus (common sunflower). Its description in RNAcentral is "hypothetical non coding rna". Lineage: Eukaryota; Viridiplantae; Streptophyta; Magnoliopsida; Asterales; Asteraceae. The record is from RNAcentral.